Non-coding RNA from Camellia sinensis, 5164 nucleotides. Lineage: Eukaryota; Viridiplantae; Streptophyta; Magnoliopsida; Ericales; Theaceae. The record is from RefSeq and is a predicted model, not a curated record.
UUCGAAGAGAGAGGAGUGGUCGAUCGGAACUUUUUUCGGCGAGAUAAGAUAGCUGGUGGUGGUGGAGAUGGUGGGUUGAUGUGGUGGUGUAAGGGUGGAGCAAAGGUAGAGAGAAGUUAGAGAGAGAAGAAUGCAGACAAAAUAAAAUAAAAGUCUAUAGCCUUUUUUUUUUUUUCUUUUUUUGAUUUGAAAGAUGGUGUUUGGUCACACUCACAAUCAAGUUUGGAGUUGGGUUUAGAUAUUCUAAUUGAAGUUUAAUUUAAGAGGUGUUUGACUCUGGAUAAAUGUUGGGUGUAUCAUAUGUAUUUCCUCUUCUAUUCCAUUAUUACAAUUUGCAAGAUCUGCAGAUAGGUGAGCAAAAAGCUAAGAAGUUUCUUUUCUGUACACCCUUCAUUGAGUAAGAUCGAUGGUGUUGGAAUUUUAUUGUUCAUAUCUAGAUCCGGUUAAUCUUGACAUCGUUUGAGAGACUUAUAUCUUUAAAAAGAAUGAUUUGUCUCAUGUUGAAAUUUCAAUUGGAUCUCAUAGUUGAGAUUUUUCACCGACCAAAGUUAAUGAAUGAAGAUCUCUUACUAGUCAGAAUUAAUGAAAGGAUUCAACUGGACUAAGAGCUAGAAUGCUGGGCGCCAAGGAAUUUCUUUAAAAAAAUCAUGUCAUUUGGUCCAUGAUCUCUUGCAAGCUUAUCUCAAUUCAUGAUUUGGUGAAUGCAUUCUACAAUUUCUUUAAAUAAAGAUACAGAUUGAGAGAGCUUUAUCCUCUGAAAUUCGAAUCUCAACCUAGUUUCUUCUUCAAUAUUUGUUUGCAAAAAAAAAAAAAAGGUCAAAAGAAAAAGAAAAAGAAAAAAAAAAAGAAAGAGAAGAAGUGGAUUGAAAAUGAGUGCCCUGCAAGGUGUAUUUUCAAUUGUAGGGGCAAUUGCAGGGAGAAUAGUUGAGCCCGUGAUCCAAUUAGUGGUGCUCCACGUUGGUUUUGUUUUUCAGUACAAGAAGAAGCAGAAGAAACUGGAAGUUGAAAUUAAAAACCUUGAAGAGCACAAAAAACAAAUCGAAGAAAAAGUUGAUGAAGCCAUUACUCGUGGUGAAGAAGUUGAUGAACCUGUUUCAAACUGGCUAGCAGAGGUGGAAGAAAGAGUUCAGAAAAUAAAGGAAGACAAUACUAUUGACGAAAACAUGCAGUGCUUUAAAUUCUCAUGUCCAGAUUACAUCUCGCACUACCGAAUAAGCAAGGAUGCCGAAAACAAGAUGGAAGAAGUAAAAAAUCUCAGUCAGAGUGGCAAUUUUAGCACAGUUGCACAUCCUAAGCCAUUUGCUCAAGAACUUCAAUUCCCAUCAUCAAGUGCAAACUAUGCAAAUUUUGAGUCGCGAGAAUUGGCUUUCAAUAACAUCAUGGUGGCAUUACAAGAUUCCAAUGUUAAAAUGAUUGGAAUAUAUGGAACAGGAGGCGUUGGUAAGACGACAAUUGUCGAAGAGAUUGGCAAACAAGUGAAAAAUGGACUUUUUAAUGAAGUUGUGGUGGCAGUUGUCUCUCAGGACGCAUAUGUGAGCAAUAUUCAAGGGCAACUCGCUGAUCGCUUGAAUCUGGAACUAAAAGGGGAAACUGAAGUGGGAAAAGCAAACCAAUUGUGGAAUAGAUUGAACAAUGGGAAGAAAAAUCUCAUUAUAUUGGAUGAUAUGUGGCAAGAAUUGGACUUGAAGACAAUUGGGAUUCCUAUCACUGAUGGAAACAAUUGUUGCAAAGUUGUGAUAACGUCUCGAAUCCGAGGUGUGUUGGAAAAGAUGCAUGUUAAUAGUUAUGUUCCAAUGCAAGUAUUAUUAGAGAAAGAAGCAUGGUCCCUAUUCAAGAUGAAGGUGGGAAAUUCUGUUGACUCUGUUGAACUCCAUGAUAUAGCUAAUGCAGUUUGUAAAGAGUGUGGAGGUUUGCCGGUCGCUAUACUUGCAGUUGGAGCCGCAUUGAAAGAUAAGAAAAAAUAUGUUUGGGAAGAUGUACUUGAUCAAUUCAAAGAUUCCAUGCUAAAGAAUAUUGCGGGAAUCGACCCAAAGGUGUAUGCUUCGUUAAAGUUAAGCUAUGAUCGGUUAGAAUCUAGUGAUGCAAAAUCAUGCUUCUUGAUAUGUUGUUUCUUUCCUGAAGAUACUAAUAUUUCAAUUGAAGUGUUGGCGAGACACUGCAUAGCGAGAAGUUUGCUUGGACAAAACACAAAUACACUAAAAAGAGCAAGCCGUCGAGUACUUACAGUAGUCGAUAUCCUCAAAGAUGCUUGUUUGUUAUUAGAAGGCAAAGAUGAAAACUUUGUCAAAGUGCAUGAUGUCAUUCGAGAUGUUGCUCUUUCAAUUGCGAAAGAUGAUGGCAAGGAAAUUCUAGUAAAACAUGGUGAAAAAAAGUGGCCCGAGAAAGAUACAUGCGAAUCUUCCUCAGCAAUGUCAUUAAGGUUCGACAACACUCUUGAGCUUCCGGAUGAUUUGGUAUGUCCACAACUCCACACCUUGGCCAUGAAAUUGAAAAGGAAUAUCAAUCCUUUGCUUAAUGUUCCAGAUAGGUUUUUCAGUGGAAUGGAGAAACUUACAAUUUUAGAAUUGAAUAGAAUCUGUAUGUUGCCUCCAUUAUCUCUUGCAAAUUUGGUUAACCUUCGGAUGCUAUGGUUAGAUAAUUGUGUGUUGGGAGACAUAGCUAUACUCAAGGAUCUAAAUAAUAACCUUGAAAUACUUAGCCUUCAAGGUUCUAAUAUCGAGGUUUUGCCAUCAGAGAUAGGACAAUUGACCCGUCUUCGGUUGUUAGAUCUGGGAAAUUGUAAAAAGCUCACAGAGAUUCCACAAGGUGUCAUAUCCAAUUUGUCUCGCUUGGAAGAAUUAUACAUUUUAGAUGACUAUGAGUUUGGGCAUAGGGAGGAAAGAAGCAAAGUGAAUCUUGAUGAGUUGGGGAAAUUGACGCAAUUAACCACUUUAGAGAUUCACAUACCAAAUGUCACGCUAUUGCCCAAGGACUUCUGCUUUGAAAACUUCAUCAGAUUUAAAAUAUCAAUUGGUAUUUCCAUAAUUGGUAUGCCUAUUUCUGACACUAGUUCAAAGUCGUGUAAACUUGUGGGUGUUUCCUUAAUGGACAAGUUUAUCGUUUUGUUGCUGAGAGCUGAAGAGCUACAUUUGGAAAAAAUUGAAGGUUUACAAGAGGUGCUGCAUGACAGAGGUGGAGAGGGGUCUUUCAUGGAACGUCAUCGACUAAAUCCAUCAGGAUUCUUCAAUAAUUUAAUUCAAUUAACAAUUCUAGAUUGUAGGUUGAAAUAUCUCUUCUCCCUGUCCUGUGCAAGAGGAUUUCCACGACUCCAGAGACUAGGAAUAUUUAAUUGUGAGAUGAUGGAAGCAAUAGUUGGAAUUGAAGAAGAAAAAGAUGAAGAUGAACUCUCAAGUCAGGUAAUUAAUUUCAGUCAGUUGAAAUAUUUGUGUCUCGGGAAUCUACCCAAGCUCAUAAGCUUCUACCCCAAAGUGGAGAAGAUGUCAACAUCUGAAGGAAGUUCUUCUACCCAGGCACAAUUUUUGUUCAAUGAAAAGGUUGCUUUCCCAGUCUUGGAGUAUUUGAAUAUUCAGAAAUUGCCUAACAUAAUAGAGAUAUGGGACAAGCAAUUACUCAUGGCUUCAGAAAAAGAAUCAAAGUCCUUCUGCCAACUGGAAGCUAUGACGGUUUCUAAUUGUGAGAAAUUGGUGCAUGUGGUUCAGUUCAAUAUGCUCCCACGACUGCAAAAUCUGAACAUAUUCGAGGUAGAUAAUUGUCCAAAGGUGGAAGCGAUAGUCUCAGAGAAAGAAAAAGAAGAAGGAACCACCAAUAAUGAUAUCAUCGUGUUCUCUCAAUUAACAACUCUUCAUCUUUACGAUUUGGUGAGCCUUAAAAGUUUCUACAACUGGCCUACAAGAUCUGAAGCACAACCCUUGUUCAACCACCAGGUUUCUUUUCCAAGGUUGGAGACAUUAAUUCUCAAUAAUUGUGUAAACUCAAGAGAGAUACAUCCUUGGAAUGUUCAGGCUAGCAAAAUAUGUUUAAAAUUCUUGGACGUAGCGAAUCUGAACAAAUUAAUUGUGAGAAAUUGUAGUGAGGUGGCAGAGGUUUUUCAACUUGAGGGGCUAAAUGUUGGAGAAAGACAACAUGUUAGGCCAUUAAUUGAAGUAAGAAUGAUGGAAUUGGAUGCAUUACCUCAGUUGACAUGUUUGUGGAACAAGGAUCCCCAUGGAAUUCUGGGCCUUCAAAUCCUACAAUACCUAACAAUUAAGAAAUGUUCCCUCUUGAGAAAUCUAUUCACAUGUUCCACAGCCAUGGCUCUUCAACAACUCAAAGUACUUUAUUUGGAGUCUUGUCCGGUGAUGGAAGAAGUUAUUGCAGCAGCAGAGGAUGGGCUCAAGGAAGUGAUUGAUGAUGUGAUUGAAUUCCCAAAGUUGGAGUGGCUAAUACUGAAAGAUCUACCAAACCUCAACAGUUUCUGUAAUGCGAAAUAUAAUUUUAAUUUGCCAUCAUUACAAAGAGUUGUUCUAAAGAGGUGUCCGAAUAUGCACAACUUUACUUUUGGACAAGUACGCAUGUCACAGAUAUUUGUAAGUACACAUGGCAAUGAUGGCCUUCAAAUUGAAGAUCUCAAUAAGUAUUUAAAGGAACGACUUCUUUUGAAAGGAGAGGAAUGCGCAACUGUGGAUGAAAAUGAUCACCGCUGCGACGAAGUACAGUUCUCCUACCUUAAGCGGCUAUAGGAGUAAAACAGGUAAUUGAUAGAAUCAUUGGCAGCUAGCAAACCUUUUUCCUAUUAGGACACUCUCUGCUACCUUGGUGCAACUUGAGUUCAGCUAUAUAUGAUCGAGUUCAAGUUGCUGAGAUUGGAGUAUGCUGGAUUACCCUCCUACAGUCAAAGGCAAACUUAUUGUUUCUUUCAAUAAGUUAAAAAGCAAAAAAAUAAAAAUAAAUUGCAAAACUAUUCAGCUACCUAUAGCUGUAUAAGAAAUGAUAUAUAUAUAUAUAUGUGUGUGUGUGUGUGUGUGUGUGUGUGUGUGUGAGUGAAUAUGUGCGGUAGUAAUGUCAUAAUACUCUAUCUUGCUGAUGAGAUAGAAUUUGUAUGAUUUUGGAGGCUAAGUGUGCUAAUUAUGUGGGAUAUACACUUGCAGGGUAUUUUAUUUAUUUAUUUCUUUUUGUUGGGAUUUUA